RNAcentral lists this ribosomal RNA (497 nucleotides) under uncultured bacterium. RNAcentral describes it as "partial 16S ribosomal RNA". It matches the Rfam family "Bacterial small subunit ribosomal RNA", at positions 28 to 507 of the family's 1533-position model. The record is from RNAcentral.
GAUGAACGCUGGCGGCGUGCCUAAUACAUGCAAGUCGAGCGAACGGACGAGAAGCUUGCUUUUCUGAUGUUAGCGGCGGACGGGUGAGUAACACGUGGAUAACCUACCUAUAAGACUGGGAUAACUUCGGGAAACCGGAGCUAAUACCGGAUAAUAUUUUGAACCGCAUGGUUCAAAAGUGAAAGACGGUCUUGCUGUCACUUAUAGAUGGAUCCGCGCUGCAUUAGCUAGUUGGUAAGGUAACGGCUUACCAAGGCAACGAUGCAUAGCCGACCUGAGAGGGUGAUCGGCCACACUGGAACUGAGACACGGUCCAGACUCCUACGGGAGGCAGCAGUAGGGAAUCUUCCGCAAUGGGCGAAAGCCUGACAGAGCAACGCCGCGUGAGUGAUGAAGGUCUUCGGAUCGUAAAACUCUGCUAUUAGGGAAGAACAUAUGUGUAAGUAACUGUGCACAUCUUGACGGUACCUAAUCAGAAAGCCACGGCUAACUACGUG